CUUACCUACUCUUGACAUCCUGCGAAUUUGGUAGAGAUACCUUAGUGCCUUCGGGAGCGCAGAGACAGGUGCUGCAUGGCUGUCGUCAGCUCGUGUUGUGAAAUGUUGGGUUAAGUCCCGUAACGAGCGCAACCCUUGUCCUUAUUUGCCAGCGCGUAAUGGCGGGAACUCUAAGGAGACUCCCGGUGACAAACCGGAGGAAGGUGGGGACGACGUCAAGUCAUCAUGCCCCUUACGAGUAGGGCUACACACGUGCUACAAUGGUCGGUACAAAGGGUUGCCAACUCGCGAGAGUGAGCCAAUCCCGAAAAGCCGAUCUCAGUCCGGAUCGGAGUCUGCAACUCGACUCCGUGAAGUCGGAAUCGCUAGUAAUCGUGGAUCAGAAUGCCACGGUGAAUAUGUUCCCGGGCCUU
Molecule: ribosomal RNA, 413 nt
Filed under: Vreelandella aquamarina
Lineage: Bacteria; Pseudomonadati; Pseudomonadota; Gammaproteobacteria; Oceanospirillales; Halomonadaceae
Description: bacterial SSU rRNA
Rfam family: Bacterial small subunit ribosomal RNA
Source: RNAcentral